This 227-nucleotide ribosomal RNA is filed under the name uncultured bacterium. RNAcentral's name for it is "partial 16S ribosomal RNA". It matches the Rfam family "Bacterial small subunit ribosomal RNA", at positions 109 to 334 of the family's 1533-position model. The record is from RNAcentral.
AGUAACGCGUGAGGAACCUGCCUCGAAGAGGGGGACAACAGUUGGAAACGACUGCUAAUACCGCAUAAGCCCACGGCUCGGCAUCGAGCAGAGGGAAAAGGAGCAAUCCGCUUUGAGAUGGCCUCGCGUCCGAUUAGCUAGUUGGUGAGGUAAUGGCCCACCAAGGCGACGAUCGGUAGCCGGACUGAGAGGUUGAACGGCCACAUUGGGACUGAGACACGGCCCAG